GGGCUCAGAAUGAAAGCACCCCUACAGAUGAAAAGAUUUGUCCUUUUUUCCAAGGAAAUUUGGCCACUAUAAUAAUAAGGAAAAGGCGUCCUCAGGGUCGGAUCAGCUCUUUCUCUGAGGUCCUUCAAUAUUGAGGUAACCUCCACCUGGGAUGA
Non-coding RNA from Notechis scutatus (mainland tiger snake), 155 nucleotides. Lineage: Eukaryota; Metazoa; Chordata; Lepidosauria; Squamata; Elapidae. The record is from RefSeq and is a predicted model, not a curated record.